RNAcentral lists this long non-coding RNA (351 nucleotides) under Lathyrus oleraceus (garden pea). Its description in RNAcentral is "Pisum sativum (pea) long non-coding RNA (PSAT_LNC018283)". Lineage: Eukaryota; Viridiplantae; Streptophyta; Magnoliopsida; Fabales; Fabaceae. The record is from RNAcentral.
AAACAAGUGAUAAAAGUUGAGAAAAAACAAUAAAGAAAACCAAAUUCCUAAUACAAAAACCAAUAAUCUACUAUGAGAUGUCGUAGUAGCCUCCAACCAAAACCCUAAUUCCAAACAUUUCCCAUAUAAAAUCUAGGGACCUUCUACGGGUGGUCGUAGUAGCUGCUACGGGCCGUAGCAGGCCCAACACCCCAAUGUUCAAAUUUUUUAAUUUUUUCUCCAAAUUUGUCUUGGCCCGACCUUCUUUUAUCCCACACAAUCAUUCCCAUUAAAUCACCUAUAAACCUUCAAAAUCUAAAUUUUCAAAUCAUUUAAUCACAAAAUCUCUCCCUCCCUCUCUCUCUAAACCUC